RNAcentral lists this non-coding RNA (37 nucleotides) under Mus musculus (house mouse). The record is from RNAcentral. Lineage: Eukaryota; Metazoa; Chordata; Mammalia; Rodentia; Muridae.
UGACAGGUCUGGGUCUGGCCCCUGAUGGCCAGUCUCU